GUGUUCACUUCAGCAGCACUUACACUAAAAUUGGAGUGAUACGGGGAAGAGAGGCAUGGCCCCUGCGCGAGGAUGAAACACAAAUUCACGAAGCAUUCCAUAUUUAC
Molecule: small nuclear RNA, 107 nt
Organism: Zalophus californianus (California sea lion)
Lineage: Eukaryota; Metazoa; Chordata; Mammalia; Carnivora; Otariidae
Source: Ensembl